Molecule: ribosomal RNA, 404 nt
Filed under: uncultured Elstera sp.
Lineage: Bacteria; Pseudomonadati; Pseudomonadota; Alphaproteobacteria; Rhodospirillales; Rhodospirillaceae
Description: bacterial SSU rRNA
Rfam family: Bacterial small subunit ribosomal RNA
Source: RNAcentral
GGGGAAUAUUGGACAAUGGGCGGAAGCCUGAUCCAGCAAUGCCGCGUGAGUGAUGAAGGCCUUCGGGUUGUAAAGCUCUUUUACCUGCGACGAUGAUGACGGUAGCAGGAGAAUAAGCCCCGGCUAACUUCGUGCCAGCAGCCGCGGUAAUACGAAGGGGGCUAGCGUUGUUCGGAAUUACUGGGCGUAAAGGGCGCGUAGGCGGCCCUGUCAGUCAAGCGUGAAAGCCCCGGGCUCAACCUGGGAAUUGCGCCUGAUACUGCAGGGCUUGAGGGUCGGAGAGGAUGGUGGAAUUCCCAGUGUAGAGGUGAAAUUCGUAGAUAUUGGGAAGAACACCGGUGGCGAAGGCGGCCAUCUGGACGACAUCUGACGCUGAGGCGCGAAAGCGUGGGGAGCAAACAGGA